Molecule: long non-coding RNA, 352 nt
Organism: Octopus sinensis (East Asian common octopus)
Lineage: Eukaryota; Metazoa; Mollusca; Cephalopoda; Octopoda; Octopodidae
Exons: 3
Source: RefSeq, a predicted model, not a curated record
GUGCUCAACUAUUUUGAAAAUUUGUUUUUUUUGAAAAUGUUACGGAGGAAACAAACAAAUAUGAGCAACAUAUAAUUUCUAUUUGCGGAAGAAACGAUCCACUAUGGCAGCGAACUUAUACUGUGGAAAUGAGUGUUUUAUCACAAUCAAUAUUAUGUUUGGUGUUAAACAGCUUCCUUGACUGUGGAACUAAUGGAGUCCUGAUAUAAGGUAUGGUGAUCUGUAUAUCUCAAGUAUAAUGUUGAAGACGAGUCAUUUGAAAAUAUCGCAGUAUUUACAUUUAAUUGAUUCUGCUAAUGCCCCCAGCAAAAACAACCCAAACUACGAUCCCCUGUACAAAGUACAUCCUGUA